GAUGAUGGUGAUGAUGAGGAUGGUUCCGGUUCUGAGGCCGGUAGUGAAGAGAGUUAUGAGUCCUAUGAGGACUAAGUUUUAUUUUUCAUGUUAUGUUUUAUUUUAUUAUAUUUUCAGAUAUGUAGUAUUUUGGUUUUAGUUAUGUACUUUUGGGGUGUUUUGUCCCCCACGCACAUUUUUAACAUUUUGAAGUGAUGAUUGUGUUUAUGUUUUAAAUUAUUGUGUUUGGUUUGAA
RNAcentral lists this long non-coding RNA (235 nucleotides) under Lathyrus oleraceus (garden pea). RNAcentral's name for it is "Pisum sativum (pea) long non-coding RNA (PSAT_LNC013112)". Lineage: Eukaryota; Viridiplantae; Streptophyta; Magnoliopsida; Fabales; Fabaceae. The record is from RNAcentral.